GCGUUGGUGGUUUAGUGGUAAAAUUCAUCGUUGCCAUAAAACGCGCCGUCGAUGAGCCCCGGGUUCGAUUCCCGGCGUACGUG
This is a non-coding RNA of Saxophila tyrrhenica, 83 nucleotides long. Lineage: Eukaryota; Fungi; Ascomycota; Dothideomycetes; Mycosphaerellales; Extremaceae. The record is from the annotation of a RefSeq genome assembly.